RNAcentral lists this transfer RNA (73 nucleotides) under Nitrosopumilales archaeon. RNAcentral's name for it is "tRNA-Val". It matches the Rfam family "tRNA". Rfam says of the family: Transfer RNA (tRNA) molecules are approximately 80 nucleotides in length. Lineage: Archaea; Thermoproteati; Nitrososphaerota; Nitrososphaeria; Nitrosopumilales. The record is from RNAcentral.
GGACCGGUAGUCUAGGGGUUAGGAUGACGCUCUCACACAGCGUAGGUCAUGGGUUCAAAUCCCAUCCGGUCCA